AUUUUUUUAUUAAAUCUUUCAUUUAAGACCUGAUAGAUUUUUUUUGUUCCAGAAAUUAGUUGCUGACAAGUAUCUUGGCCAUGGAUCUUGAAAAUCAUUUGGACGGAAAAGAUAUGAACUUUGUAGACAAGGUUAGAACGGUACUGGAAGAGUAUUUUUCAUCACAGACAAGUGAAUUUUGGAAGAGGGGCCUUGCAAAUCUACCAGAUAGAUGGAAGAGCAUUGUAGAAAAUGAAGGAGAGUAUAUUUUAGAUUAAAAAAGAACUUUUAUGGUCUUAAUUUCGAAAAAUAAAAGUAUAAAAAAAACGCAUUAAUUAUGGGAUGACCAAAUAUUUGCGACCCAGUUUUUCAAUUCUUACUCCACUUUCAGAUGUGUGAGCUAAAACACAAUGAAGUAAAAUGCCUUGCUUAAGAAA
This is a long non-coding RNA of Octopus bimaculoides (California two-spot octopus), 416 nucleotides long. The record is from RefSeq and is a predicted model, not a curated record. Lineage: Eukaryota; Metazoa; Mollusca; Cephalopoda; Octopoda; Octopodidae.